UUUGAGGGGAAUGUUGUCUGGCUCGAGGCCACUAACUAGAUCUACAAGUUUAUCUCAAUUGAUUUUCUUUUUCAAAUUGUUGAGGUAUCACUGAUGAUCAUGUGUUAGUGACGUCGGACCAGGCUUCAUUCCCCCCAAU
RNAcentral lists this microRNA precursor (139 nucleotides) under Jatropha curcas. RNAcentral describes it as "mir-166 microRNA precursor family". It matches the Rfam family "mir-166 microRNA precursor family". From Rfam's summary of the family: This family represents the plant microRNA (miRNA) precursor mir-166. The record is from Rfam by way of RNAcentral. Lineage: Eukaryota; Viridiplantae; Streptophyta; Magnoliopsida; Malpighiales; Euphorbiaceae.